GGCACAAAGAGAUCUAGUUCAUGGCCAGGAUAUGCUUUUUCAGGAUCCAGGAACUGCCGCCCGAUCAGACAGGCCAGGAAGAAGCUGUAAACAGCCACGGUCACCACCUGGGAAAGAUGCCAGGGGACACACCAGAGAAACUUAAGUUCCCUACUUGCUUUCUCAGCGUUUUUCUUUUUUGUUCUCACCCCACUUGUAUCAAAACUGCGGUGAGCUGCUGGCUCAGGAGCCCUUGAAAGCCUUGUAUUCAGUUACAACAAGCUUCUCCUCUGCUUUCUGCAGGAAGAUUAAUUUUCACUGCAGAAAACUUUAAGUGUACCCUCUGCCCUUCAUCGUUAUGUACGCUGCAUUUCACUCCACGCUGUCCCUGGAAUGACAUCUCUGUUCCAGUAGUUCUCUGUAGCCCCUCAUGGUUUGGUAAGCAUUUUCCAUAUCUGGGAGGGGAACCCUGACCAUUAGUGCCAGCUCUGGUUUGGUCCUAAUGAAGGAUAUUUUUAUAUUUGCCUGCUUGCUUGCCCAAAUUUCAAGCUACAAUGAACUCUGUACUUUUCUGUGCAAUCACGAGACUGGAAACUUCCACUUUUCAAAUUAAUAACAGCCGAGACUCGUGUCAAGCAGGAAGGUUCAAAUCAAACACCCGGCAUCACGAGACUCUUCAGUUAGCCAGGCACUUCCCAGAAGGGAACAGCACAGGGCUGCUUCAAGAUGCACGUGUUAUAGGGUGCCUGCAAAGACAAACUUUGCAGUGUGGAUGGGCAACCAUAGAAAAAUGGGUCAUGCUCUACAGAGAGGAGACUGUUCCAGUCCAUUUGAUAAAUCCUGCUCACAACUCCAAGACCCAACUGAGGCUGCCAGAGGAGCUGUCAAUUUGGGCCCAGUCUUUUUUACAGCCUGACAUAGCUCUGUGGACCUAAACUACAGUGAUAUCUCUUCUCUGCAGGGCAUGGAUCUGCAUGUAUCUGUGUUUUCUGUGCACUCAUAUGGAGCACCUUACAGACACAUGCUUUGCUUCCUUGUGGCUUUACAGCUGUAUCCUAGAGACCUUUAUUGGACACUGGAAUAUGUGAAUGGUGGAGGAAGUUUGAUCCAGAACACACUACAUGGGUGUCUCCUAAGACUACACCUAGAUGUGAGUCAGAUGGUUCCUCCCAGUCCCAAUUUUGUGAAAGACAUUGCAUUCUUUAGCCUCUGCUGCAUGUGGCAUCACCACUGUGUCAACAGGCCAUGAAAAAUUCUACUCUGUCACCAGUUGGAAAGUGGCAGUGGGGGUAUUUCCCAUCAAAAUGAAUGUAACGUCCCCAGGGACAGGCAUGGCUCACUGUCUGGGCAUCCCACCUCAACAUUUCUGUUCCUUGCCUGACCUCUUAAAUCCCUGCAGUUCCACCUGGAGGACUGCAUGAGGAUCUCAGUUGCCUACUGUCACUCACAUUCAGGAUGCCUUGGAGCAGCACGCUGUCCCGGAUCCUCCCCUCAUUCCUUGCUUUCACAGCCAGAUUGGAGAACCACACGCAUGGGAUCCAAAACUUGUUGUGGGGAGAAUUCAAGCUCUCAAACUUCUUGUGCUCUUCAGGUGUCAUGAGGCCUAAGUGGAAAAGAACAGAUGAGAAAGGAAUGGCCAUAGAGAGCAGAAGGAGACCAAGUUCAUGAUGCGGUCAGGCCACGGGAUGCUCUCGUACUGCGCCCACCAGCGGGACACCACCAGGGCCACGUAGAAACCUAGAGAUCCUGGUAGGGACACAAAAUGAGCAGUUGUUGAAGCUGCCAAGCAAACCUGCACAGAGGGAGGCCUGGACA
Long non-coding RNA from Lagopus muta (rock ptarmigan), 1794 nucleotides. RefSeq lists it as uncharacterized. The transcript is spliced from 4 exons. The record is from RefSeq and is a predicted model, not a curated record. Lineage: Eukaryota; Metazoa; Chordata; Aves; Galliformes; Phasianidae.